CUAAAGACAUAUGUUUCAAACGCUCAGAAAUUCCUUUGUUCUAUAUUUUUGCUCUCCAUUUUUAUGCAAAACCUUUUACAUUUUUAUUUUAUGGGUUAUUGUUGAAGGUCGUACGAUGACGUAUGGUUGUUAACACAUACUUCCUUUGGUUUCUUAUGGAAAUUUGUCCAUUGACAAAAAUACCACAUCAUCUACUUGAUAUAAGUAUUGUAUAAAUUACAACGUAUUUUGGUGAUCUUGCAAAAUGAUCGUAAUCCCGAAAAUCGUAAACAUAUUUUCUUAUCUUAAAAGGCGGCAAGAAGGGUUCCAUUAACAGGCCAAUAAA
Molecule: long non-coding RNA, 325 nt
Filed under: Mytilus galloprovincialis (Mediterranean mussel)
Lineage: Eukaryota; Metazoa; Mollusca; Bivalvia; Mytilida; Mytilidae
Source: RNAcentral